GUGCAGGACGACUGCCCUAUGGGUUGUAAACUGCUUUUAUAUAGGGAUAAACCUACUCUCGUGAGAGUAGCUGAAGGUACUAUAUGAAUAAGCACCGGCUAACUCCGUGCCAGCAGCCGCGGUAAUACGGAGGGUGCAAGCGUUAUCCGGAUUUAUUGGGUUUAAAGGGUCCGUAGGUGGGCUGAUAAGUCAGCGGUGAAAUCCUGCAGCUUAACUGUAGAACU
This 224-nucleotide ribosomal RNA is filed under the name Vibrio cholerae. RNAcentral's name for it is "partial 16S ribosomal RNA". It matches the Rfam family "Bacterial small subunit ribosomal RNA", at positions 401 to 622 of the family's 1533-position model. The record is from RNAcentral. Lineage: Bacteria; Pseudomonadati; Pseudomonadota; Gammaproteobacteria; Vibrionales; Vibrionaceae.